Molecule: non-coding RNA, 24 nt
Filed under: Mus musculus (house mouse)
Lineage: Eukaryota; Metazoa; Chordata; Mammalia; Rodentia; Muridae
Also listed under: 1 other name
Source: RNAcentral
UAAGAUACUAAGGUGCUUAAGAAU